Molecule: ribosomal RNA, 253 nt
Filed under: uncultured bacterium
Lineage: Bacteria
Description: partial 16S ribosomal RNA
Rfam family: Bacterial small subunit ribosomal RNA
Source: RNAcentral
UACGUAGGGAGCAAGCGUUGUCCGGAAUCAUUGGGCGUAAAGCGCGCGUAGGUGGCCUCAUAAGUCCGCUGUGAAAGUCAAAGGCUCAACCUUUGAAAGCCGGUGGAUACUGUGAGGCUAGAGUACGGAAGAGGCGAGUGGAAUUCCUGGUGUAGCGGUGAAAUGCGCAGAUAUCGGGAGGAACACCAAUGGCGAAGGCAGCUCGCUGGGACGUUACUGACGCUGAGACGCGAAAGCGUGGGGAGCAAACAGG